This 404-nucleotide ribosomal RNA is filed under the name uncultured bacterium. RNAcentral describes it as "partial 16S ribosomal RNA". It matches the Rfam family "Bacterial small subunit ribosomal RNA", at positions 338 to 755 of the family's 1533-position model. The record is from RNAcentral.
CCUACGGGAGGCAGCAGUGGGGAAUAGUGGGCAAUGGAGGAAACUCUGACCCAGCAAUGCCGCGUGAAUGAAGAAGGUCUUCGGAUUGUAAAGUUCGUUAGUCAGGGAAGAAGGCAAUGACGGUACCGGAAGAAUAAGCUCCGGCUAACUACGGGCCAGCAGCCGCGGUAAUACGUAGGGAGCAAGCGUUGUUCGGAAUGACUGGGCGUAAAGGGGGCGGAGGUGGUGGUACAAGUUAGAAGUGAAAUACCCUGGGCUGAACUAGGGUGCUGCUUCGAAAACGGUAUGACUGGAGUGCAGUAGAGUUUAGUGGAAUUCCUAGUGUAGCGGUGGACUGCGUCGCUAUUAGGAGGAACACCAGCGGCGAAGGCGUCUCACUGGACUGCAACUGACGCUGAGGCACG